Molecule: transfer RNA, 76 nt
Filed under: Lachnospiraceae bacterium
Lineage: Bacteria; Bacillati; Bacillota; Clostridia; Lachnospirales; Lachnospiraceae
Also listed under: 2 other names
Description: tRNA-Pro
Rfam family: tRNA
About the family: Transfer RNA (tRNA) molecules are approximately 80 nucleotides in length.
Source: RNAcentral
CCAGGUGUAGCUCAAUUGGCAGAGCGCGUGCUUUGGGAGCAUGAGGCAGCAGGAUCGUAACCUGUCACUUGGACCA